CACUGACCUAAGUCAGGCUGCAUUUGAAAGGCAAUUCCUUUCCUCAAAACUCAGCCAGAAGAACAAAGUGGGUGAAAGGAAGGAUCUGCUCCUGGUCUAUUUCCUCUUCCAAUCUCUCUGCCACGCCGCGUACCCUGAGGCCUGAGGCGCAGGACCCUCCCAGGGAAGGCCUAGGGGCCUCGGCUCAGGACCCGACAGCAUCACUCCCACCCCUCACCACCACACACACAGGAUGGGGGACUGCUGCUGCUCUCCAGCCUGUGAGCCUGGAUAGCUAUUUUGUGACCCAGCUCCUGCUCAGUCUCAUUGCUGUCCCCGGUCUCUCCAGGGAGUAAGGGAUUCUCCAUCUGUGGUAAGUUACCUGUGACUCUUCAGCAGUUUCCUCUGAGCAUAAUUAUAUCUGAGAGCACAGGGGGCUCCUCAUUCCGUAUAUUUUUCAAAUAUUCAAGAUGUACAACGUGAUGAUUUGCUAUAAGUAUUGUGAAAUAUUCGCCACAGUCAAGCUUGUUGACAUACCCACCAGCUCACAUUGACUGUUUUCGUGUGUGUGUGUGGUGAGAAUACUCACGAUCUCCUCUCUGAGCCAAUUGCAAGUAGAUGUUAUUAGUAACUGUAGUGUCUGUGUUGUCCAUUAGGCCUCUAGAACCUACUGUUACUUGUGGAGGGUCUUUACUAUGAGUUGUCCAGGUCCUUGGCAUUUUGAACAAAGAAUUGACCAAAACACAGAGUAGCAGAGGAAUGAAACGCGGGGAGUGAAGCAGCGAAAGCAGGGAUUUAUUCAAGAGAGAAAGCGCUCUGUAGGGUGGGAGCGGGCCCAACAAGGGCUCAAGGGUGUUAAGUUCCCUGUUUGAUGUUCUUAUCUGCUACCCGGUAUCUGGAUGAAGGAUUUGGUCCCUGGCUAAUUAAAGGCUGAGGUGAAUUGGCGCCCUAUGCAGAUGAAGGGGUGGUCCCUGCAUUGCCUGCGGCUAAUCGUUGUAGGGAGAGUAGGCUCUGAUCCUUUGCUGCUCGGCUUGGGGACAGGGGGUUUUCCUUUUGGUUCCGCUGUCAGAAGUGUGUGUUAAUUGGCCUCAGGUUCCCUGCCCCCAGACCCAGGUGUUUUCCUUGUCAUCCAGCUUUGGGGAGGCAGCUCCAAUUGGCCUUGGGUUUCCUGUGCCCAGACCUUGCUGUUUUCUCAGACCUUGCUGUUGUCCCUGUCUCCAGACCCUGUUCUCCAGACCCUGUUCUCCAGACCCUGUUCUCCUGCCUCAAUGCUUACCAUGGAAAGUUUGUACCAACACCUGUCACCUCACUGCACCCACGCCCUGACUCUGGUUUUAGGAACCAGACAGCAGAGACCCCGCUCCUGGGCUGCUGGGGACAGCCAACAGCACAGGGGUCCUCAGCCUGUAGGAAGAAGAGUGAUGACAGCUGAGGUCCUGGGGCAGCACCUGGCUUCCCUGCAGAAGGCGGCCAGGCAGGGCCACCCUUGGUACUGAAGUUUGGUGGACUUGACUUGGCAGUGUCUGUACAAUAGUUAAAAUACUCUAAACAUACUUUCUUUUUCCAGAAGUGGAAAUAAAUUGCAAGAAAUACCCAAAUCA
Long non-coding RNA from Cercocebus atys (sooty mangabey), 1580 nucleotides. RefSeq lists it as uncharacterized. The transcript has 3 exons. Lineage: Eukaryota; Metazoa; Chordata; Mammalia; Primates; Cercopithecidae. The record is from RefSeq and is a predicted model, not a curated record.